Molecule: ribosomal RNA, 1097 nt
Filed under: Acinetobacter nosocomialis
Lineage: Bacteria; Pseudomonadati; Pseudomonadota; Gammaproteobacteria; Moraxellales; Moraxellaceae
Description: bacterial SSU rRNA
Rfam family: Bacterial small subunit ribosomal RNA
Source: RNAcentral
AUAGAACGCUGGCGGCAGGCUUAACACAUGCAAGUCGAGCGGGGCGAAGGUAGCUUGCUACUGGACACUAGCGGCGGACGGGUGAGUAAUGCUUAGGAAUCUGCCUAUUAGUGGGGGACAACAUCUCGAAAGGGAUGCUAAUACCGCAUACGUCCUACGGGAGAAAGCAGGGGAUCUUCGGACCUUGCGCUAAUAGAUGAGCCUAAGUCGGAUUAGCUAGUUGGUGGGGUAAAGGCCUACCAAGGCGACGAUCUGUAGCGGGUCUGAGAGGAUGAUCCGCCACACUGGGACUGAGACACGGCCCAGACUCCUACGGGAGGCAGCAGUGGGGAAUAUUGGACAAUGGGCGCAAGCCUGAUCCAGCCAUGCCGCGUGUGUGAAGAAGGCCUUAUGGUUGUAAAGCACUUUAAGCGAGGAGGAGGCUACUUUAGAUAAUACCUAGAGAUAGUGGACGUUACUCGCAGAAUAAGCACCGGCUAACUCUGUGCCAGCAGCCGCGGUAAUACAGAGGGUGCAAGCGUUAAUCGGAUUUACUGGGCGUAAAGCGCGCGUAGGCGGCUAAUUAAGUCAAAUGUGAAAUCCCCGAGCUUAACUUGGGAAUUGCAUUCGAUACUGGUUAGCUAGAGUGUGGGAGAGGAUGGUAGAAUUCCAGGUGUAGCGGUGAAAUGCGUAGAGAUCUGGAGGAAUACCGAUGGCGAAGGCAGCCAUCUGGCCUAACACUGACGCUGAGGUGCGAAAGCAUGGGGAGCAAACAGGAUUAGAUACCCUGGUAGUCCAUGCCGUAAACGAUGUCUACUAGCCGUUGGGGCCUUUGAGGCUUUAGUGGCGCAGCUAACGCGAUAAGUAGACCGCCUGGGGAGUACGGUCGCAAGACUAAAACUCAAAUGAAUUGACGGGGGCCCGCACAAGCGGUGGAGCAUGUGGUUUAAUUCGAUGCAACGCGAAGAACCUUACCUGGCCUUGACAUAGUAAGAACUUUCCAGAGAUGGAUUGGUGCCUUCGGGAACUUACAUACAGGUGCUGCAUGGCUGUCGUCAGCUCGUGUCGUGAGAUGUUGGGUUAAGUCCCGCAACGAGCGCAACCCUUUUCCUUAUUUA